Camelina sativa (false flax) is the source of this 266-nucleotide non-coding RNA. NCBI's taxonomy places the organism in Eukaryota, Viridiplantae, Streptophyta, Magnoliopsida, Brassicales, Brassicaceae. The record is from RefSeq and is a predicted model, not a curated record.
GCAAAAUGGCGAGCUUGAAGCAAAGGGACUUUUAGCAACCAUAAUAAAGAAAGAAGGAACGUUGGAAUCAUUUAAGGAACUAUUGUUGAAAGAGCUCCCAAAAGCUCAAGUGUUGGAGCCUAUAGCAGGCGUGCCUCUAGAGAUCUUGGCUCCAUCUUUAGAGGUUUAAAAUGUAACAGUACAAACUAAAUGAGGAUACACAGAUGUGAAUAUACACAUGUGAAAUGAAGCUUUUUAGUGAGGGAACAAAUAUAUAGUUUGAGAUA